CCGGGCUGGAGAAGGACCUGAGCGCGGCGGCGCGGUGGUGGCCGGGCUGGACUGAGAACCCGCGGGUCCUUGAGGCUGAGGCCUUCCGGUCGCUGGGAGGGGCCCGAGGAGCGCCUAGGCAGAGGUUUUUCGCCGCCGGCCUUCCCCGCUUUGGGGCCUCACAGGCACUGCUCGCACGCCCAGGCUAGUUCCGGAAAGCCGUCUGCUGCUCUGCUAAAAUGCCUGAGUUACUACCUGGAGGGUGGUAGUACGCUUAACUCCAAAUUGUGUGACAGGUCUCCAUAAAAACUUGAAGACUGGAAGAAAGAGGAGGGAGAGGCUGAAUGUCCGUUUCUUCUGUAUCACUCCUUAUCUGGGACUUCUCUGAGGCACAUGCCCAUCUCACCUCCCACAUCUCCAGCUUUUAAUGCUGAAUUACAAGUUAAGAUUAAUACAGAAAUCAAAACAGACAGGAUACAAAGCCCACAGUGCAGCGUAUUCGUCACUGCAUGAAGGACUGCAGCUUGGAGUUAGCUGCCACAGCCCAGAAGCAGCAGUGCUGGGUGUGUCCCAAGAACACCAAAGCUUUCAGAAAUGAAAAAGUUUGUCUUCUGUCUUUUA
This is a non-coding RNA of Myodes glareolus (Bank vole), 600 nucleotides long. The record is from RefSeq and is a predicted model, not a curated record. NCBI's taxonomy places the organism in Eukaryota, Metazoa, Chordata, Mammalia, Rodentia, Cricetidae.